This 5161-nucleotide long non-coding RNA is filed under the name Sus scrofa (pig). RNAcentral describes it as "lncRNA (ENSSSCG00000046327.1)". Lineage: Eukaryota; Metazoa; Chordata; Mammalia; Artiodactyla; Suidae. The record is from RNAcentral.
GGUCCCAGGGCUGAAGGAUGCUGAUUGAUUCAGAGCCUGCUAAAGGGACUGACAAAGUGGGGUCACUGAUUUCAGGAGGUGUGGGGAGAGUAUCCAGGGCGAUUGUAAGAAUUUCAUACCCCCUGCCCCCAUAGUGUAUCUCAGUGCGCCUGGGAGCAGGAGGAGCAAGGGCAUCAGGCUGGCAAGUGGCCCAGGCCAGCGCAGACCAGGCUUCUGCUGUGGGAGGCAGAGGCAGGGCUGAGUUGCUGUUGGAGCACGUGUCCGCCAGAGGGCGCCAGCGCACAGCGGAGGCCCCUGCAGCCCCCUGUUUGCCUGUCCAGGCUUCCAAGUGGAUUGGAGAGGGACCCAUGGAACCUCGAGGUGGUGCCUGGAGCCUGGUUUGUGUUCAUAAUGCCUUGGACCCUGCGGCCCAAUUUGCCGCAACUCAGUGAGGGGACAGAAUUCUUCCAUCACGUGUCUAAUUCAAUUCAUGUUUGGUCACGUGGCCCCAAAAUGACGGAGAUUGACAGGCUGUCUGUGGUCAGAGUGUCCUUUGCUAGUUUGCAGGCAGACCUCCAGUCCCCAGAAACACCUGGCUUGAAUGUGGGAUGUGCAGUUUUCUAGAAUCAGCCUGGCAGGGAGUUUGGCUUCCGGAAAGCUGGGCUUCAUGUCACGAAUGCAGUGUGCCUGUGCUGUUGUCUCUUGGGGGGGGGGGGUGGACUGUGGUCAUGGCUGGGUCUUUCUCUCCAGAGAGCUCCACAACCUCCAUCUUCCCUCUGCAGUUGAGCCGCUUCAGCCUCUGUGGGACACCCACUCGAAGGAAGCCGUCUAAAGCCAUGUAAGGUGAAUCACAGCUGAUUUGUUUAGGAUUCCAAGCAGAGUCCCAGGGAGGAAGGCUGCUGAUUCAAAGCCUGCUGUCCUGACUUAAAAGGAGGGUGGCUGAUUUUGGGGGGUGCCCCAGGCCAGUGCAGAGCAAGAUUCCUCUGUGGGAGGCAGAGGAAGGGCUGAGACUUGCUGUGAGGGCCUCUGUCCACCAGCCUGAGCUGGAGCAACAGCAGGGCUUCCCCGACCCCCACCUACUCUCACCACCAUGGCCGCAUCACCAGGCUCAGAUUCAGGGUGCAAAAGGCUUGGUGGAGGCCCAAGUGGGUACCCAGACAUUUGUAUUUGGGUACUUGGUGCCUCCUACGCUGUGCCUCAGCUCAGAGGAGGAUUAAAGUUCGGCCACCACAUUUCCGGUUCAAUCUGUGCCUGAUCAGGUGGCCCAAUGGCUGGAGAGUUUGACAGGUGGCCUCGGGCCUGAGUGCCCUUUGCUGGUUUGAAGCACAUUGCUGGACCCAGAAACCCCUGCCUUAAAUCUUGGGCGUGCAGAGUUGUAAAUCAGCCUGGGGUGAUAUUUGGCUUCUGGAAAGCUGGGCUUUUGUCAGGAAUGCAGCGCAGUGCUGUGGGGGCAGGUCUCAGCUUCUCCCUGUGCCUUUCUCUCUAGAGAGCUCCACCUCCUCCUUCCUCCUGUUCCACCUGAGCUGCUUCCUCCUCUGUGGGGGACUCUGUCAAGAAACCUACCUCAACCCAGGGAACGUGAAUGAUGCCUGGGAGGUCCUGGAUCUCAAGCCAGGUGCAGGGCUGUGGGGUGCUGAUGGAAGCCACCUGGUUCCACUAACUUACCAAGGUGUCUGAUUUCAGGGAGUGGGGUGGUCUCAGUUGGGGUGAGGGCCCUGGCUGACUCUGAGAUAUUCCCCCCAUCAUGCCUUUCAGUGCGCUGUGAGGGAGAGGACUUAGGAAAUCAGGCUGGCAAGGGGCCCAGGCCUCUACCGGGAGUGUAGACCAGGCUUCUGCUGUAGGAGGCAGAGGGAGGCCUGAGAUUGUUAGAGCAGAUGGCCACCAGAUGGCACCAGAGUGCCCCCUGCUGCAUCGCCUGGACUUCACCUUCAGGCCCCCAGGCAAGAUUGGAGAUGGGUCCUUGGUCUGGUGGCCCAAUGGCUAGAGAGUUUGACAGGCUAACUCGGGUCUGAGUCCUGUUGGUGGUUUGGAGUUACAACUCUGGACCCAGAAAUACCGGGCUUGGAUUUUGGCCCUACAAUUUGCUGGAAUCAGGCUGGUCCCUGUGGAAUUGUACUUCUGGAAAGGUGGCCUUCUGGUUGUGAAGGCACUGUGUCAGCACAGUGGUUUCGGGCGCAGACUGUGCUCAUACCUGUGCUCUUUCUCUCCAGAGAUCUCCUCAAGCUUUUCCUUCCCUCCCACCUGAUCCUCUCCCUCCUUGGCCAGACACCUGCUGCAGGAAAGCUACCUAAAACCAGGUAACUUUUACAAAGGCUGCAAGGUCCUUGGUUUCAUGCUGGGUCCCAGGGUUGAAGGGUGCUGACUGAUCAGGGGCUGCUCACAGGACUUACCAAGUGGGGUUGUUGAUUUCAGGGUGUGGGGUGAGUUCCGGCUCUGAGAUUGUCACACCCCAGCCCGUAGCGUGUUUCUGGGCGCUGAAAGGGAGAGGAGGAAGGAAAUCACACUGGCAGUGCCCCCGGGCCCUGCAGAGCGGACUUCUGCCGUUGGAGGCUGUCAGGGCUCCGAGUUGCUGUUAGAGCAGCGCAUUCUGGUCAAAGGGCUCUGGAGAACCCCGGAGACCCUCCUCUCCUUCAGGCUGAAAUACGUGGUUGCCGAUUGUAUGACGAGACCCCACGGAAGUGCUCGGGGCUGAGAUGGGGUUACAGGGCGCCUCUUACCAUCUGGCCAAUUUCUUUCACCUCAGGAUACUGGCAUAAUUGCUCACACAUCUUUGGUUCAAAUUCAGCAUGUUUCUCUGAUAAAUGACCAGAAAAUUUGACAGGCUCUCUGAGGGGACAAGCAAAUUCCUGGCUUGAAUCUCGAAUGUUCAGGUUUCUGAAAGCGGGCUGACAUCACGCCCUCUCCUCUUGGGUGUUCAGUUCGCUGAGAGGAAGGGGCAGAGGACACUCACGCCGGUCUGUGCCCAAGACCAGUGCUUCAAAGGUCAAAGCCCCAUCUUUAGCCCUGUUGUUUCUGGACCCAAGGGUCUGCCUCUGGAGAAACAGGGCCAGCUGACCCAGGGAGCCUGUCACACUCUGGCCCUGGGGCACCGAUCUGGCUGACAUGCCCGCCAGAUGCUGAGGGCACAGCUGUGUCCCUGCCCUGAGGUGAGUCCGUUUGGCCAGAGCCGUAGAGGCUCCCUGUUUCCAGCCCAAGCCUCUGAGCAUGUGCUGAGGGUCCCACAGUCCUCCCUCAACUGCACCUCUGAGCCCGGAGUCUCAGCCAGGCGUCUGCCAGGGGCUCUGCCUGGGCUGGGGUUCAGCCUGGCGACCUUCAUCUAACACCGUCUCUCAGCCCUUCCUCCUGUUUCUCAGCUGCCCUAGAAGCUACCCGGGCCUUGGGCCUGAGCUGCUCGAUUUCAUUUCUCCUCAGCUGCUGAGCCGAAUGAAUGCCCUAGACGCUGGAGUAUUUCUCUCACAGUCUCCCCGAGUGCUCACCCCAACUUACCCCACCCCAAUACAUAAAAACCCCUGCAUCCCCACCAUUGGGUACCUUCUUUAAAUCAGUCCCAGCUGCCUUCCCUUCUCAGGCCCUUCCCUUAGUUCUGCUCCUUGAAACAGCCAUUGCAGACAGGACAUAGAGGUUCAGAUGGAAGGGGAAGAAAGAAUCCGGGGAGAACUCCUGAAAGAUAAAGCAAGGGGUUCCUGUCUGCCCCCUCAAAAUAGCACCACUUUCACAAGCUCCAUUCAUGACCACAAGCCCCGUUGGACACAUGAUGACUUUACAGAAGCUGCAGGAUUGGUAAUUGCGAGGCCAAGAUUCAAGACAGAUAUUGUGGGUCCAGUGUCCCUGCCCCCUGAGAAACAAAAACAAACCAACCCCAGAGAACGUGUCCACCUCUCUGGCCUCUGGGCAGCCAGAGCCGGGUGGAACUACCCAUCAGAUGCAGAAAGCACAUGUCUUUCUGCUCCCUGAGGUCAGUCGAUUGGUGCCAGAGAGUCAGUGGUGCCCUGUGAGCCAUCUUAACACAUCCUAGGGCUCCCACUAACCCCUCUUGGCACCACCUCGUAGCCUGGAGGUGCAGCCAGGGGGCUUCGGAUGGGCUUUGUCUGUGCUCUGGCCCCUUCCGGAGGCCGUCUCCUCUAACACUGACUCUCAGCCUUUCCUCCUGUUUCCCUCAGCGGCCCCCCAGGGCUCUCCUGGCCUUGGGCAGCUGCCAGCCUGAUUGAAUUCCUCCUCACCUUCUAAGCCAAGUGAAGUGCCCAGAGAGAGGGGCAAUUCUCUCAAAGACUCCCAGCACACACACCCCCACCCCACCUUAAUGCAUUAAAAUCCUUUUAAUUACCCUACUUUAAUUCCCGAGAACCACCUUUAAGUCUGCUCCCUGAAACAGGGCUUGGGGACAGGAAAACGAGGCCCCAAAGGAAAGAGAGAGGGAAUUUGGGGGAGGGUCUUGAAGCACAAAGCCUAGCGAUUUGCACAGUCGCCCAGAGGAGCCAGCACCACUGUUAGGCGCUCCAUUCCUGACCAUCAGCCCCUUUGCCGCAGGACAGUGACCUGGGUGGGGGGCGGGGCUUGGCAAUUGCGAGGCCAAGAUUCUAGAGAAUUUCCUGUCCAGGGUCCUGCCUCUGAGAAACCAAAAGCAAUCCAUCCCCAGAGAACCUGUCAAACUCUCUGGCCCCUGGGCCACCCAGGCAGGCUGGAAACGCCCAUCAGAUGCUGAAGGCACAGCCAUGACCCCUCCCUGAGGUGAGGCCAUUUGGGACAGAGAAUUAGAGGCACCCCAACCACCCCCAAAUCAAUGAGCCUGUGCUGAGUGCACCCACAUUCCUUCUUCCACUUGGGCUCUGAGCCUGAAUGUGCUGCCAGGCAGCGGCAGAGAGUCUCCGCCGGGGCUCUGUGCGGCCUGGUGACCAUCUGCUCUGACCCCAUCUCUCAGCCCUUCCUCCCGGUUCCCUCAGCAGCCCCUGCAGCUACCCUCUCCUUGGGCCCUGGCCGCUUGAUUUCACUGCUCCUCAGCCACCCAGCACAGUGAAGUACCCCAGACACUGUCCUUCUCAGUCUCCCACAUGCAGCCUACCCGAUCCCCGGACAUUCAAAACCCUCUGCCUCCCCACCCACUGCUUCUUGAGUCUUUAAAUCAAUCCGCUUUCAUUCGAAAGACCUGCCUUCAAGUCGGCUCCUUGCGAUACAGAGGUAGAGG